This is a long non-coding RNA of Cynoglossus semilaevis (tongue sole), 4355 nucleotides long. RefSeq lists it as uncharacterized. NCBI's taxonomy places the organism in Eukaryota, Metazoa, Chordata, Actinopteri, Pleuronectiformes, Cynoglossidae. The record is from RefSeq and is a predicted model, not a curated record. The transcript is spliced from 5 exons.
GUGGCGCAGAAUCAGGCUACUGGGAAUUUCUUGACAAAAACAAAUUGCCAGGAAAAAAUCUUAAAAUAAAUUCGCAAAAUAUGUUUAAAGACUAAUAACAAAAAAACAAUAACAAAGGUCUUUUUAUGCUGAAAAAUAUUUUUGAAGUAUAUUACAGCAUAUUGUGGUGAUCAAUGGGGGGUCGCUAGCCGUAGCAAUAUCUUCUCUGUUGACAACACGUAGUAAUGCAGUGGAUUACACAGGUGGAUGACUUUGUCCGUGUGUGUGUCAGACAGAUGAACUAUUGUGUCAACAGCCUGUCUGGACAACCUUAACACCGUAGACAGCAGCUACUAACAAAUGCUGGGUGGGCGAAAGGACCGCUCUGCCACAUUUUUCUUCUGAGUAUCUGCUGUAACAUCCUCUCUUAUUUUUAGUUUCAUAAACAUCGUGUUCUCAAACCACUCCUUACGUCCAUCUGUUCUCUCUCUCCCUCUGUUUCUCUCUCUCUCUCUCUCUUACACACACACACAAGAGACAUCUCAUGUCUCUUGCUCACAAAUUGUAACCCAUUAGCAUAGUCUGAUCAAAGAGUUCAGGUAUGUUCAACUCCCCUGCUGUGCCUUAACCCAUUUAAGUGCUCUGGAUUUCAACAACUGCAACAGAGCCCAGAGCAGGAAAAGUUUCCAUGAAUGGACUUUACUUAAUGAAGAAUGAAAGUCUGCAGCAUCUGUGGGUUAAGAUAAGACCAACCCUCUUUAAACUAUUAAUGACACAUGGAAACUGGACAGAUGUCUCCUACCCUGGGACAAAAAUUAGAGAUUGAUUUUAUUUAUUUUUUAUUACAGAUGGUUGAGUUCUCAUGGAUGCAUUAUUCAAUCAAGUUUACUUUACUCUCUGUAUUGUUCAUGUGGUGGAGCAAAAUAUUUGAAAGCAAUUUUGAUAAAAACAACUAGGGAAAAAUGAAUGGGAGGCUGUAGGAGCAGUUGAAGGGGAGGGAGUUUAAGGAGGAAAAGUGAACGGUGGAUAAUUGGUCCUUCAUGCGGAAAAGAAUCCUGAGACACCCCACCUCUAAACCACACCACGUGACAUACCAUCUCCUCCUGCCCAGGCACAUCUUUACAUCCAGCUCAUUAAACAGCAUUAAGAUGAGAUACAUCAACAAUAGACACAUUGACAGAUGCAAAAAUGACUUUUAUGUGCCUGCUUUAUUUCAGAUUUUCUCACUGCUAACGCCUACUCUUGAGUCAGAGUGACUUUAAUUAAGCCCUGAGGUUACACAUAAUCAGUAAGAUUAGAAAAUUAUGAUUCUAAAAAAAAAGUUUCUAGUAUAUACAAUAUUCAGAAAUGACUCGUUAUAAUCCUCUCUUUUUUGAGGAUCUGCGCUGAUACAGUAGUUUUUCAUGCAACCUUUCUGUUUCUGCAGAGUUGAUUCCUGCAGUCUGUGCAUUUGAUCCCUGACAUCUACACAGAGACAGCAGCAGCAAUUCCACUUCCCCCUCCUUCCUUCUUAGUAUACACCCACCUGGCUGCCAACACACCUGCUCUGUCCCUCAAUAGCUAAAUGAAUAAACUCCUCUCGCCAGAGUCAACACCCAGCCUGACUUUUUGGCGGACCCUGAGCAGAGCCGAGGCUACUCCCAAAAGAGGAAGCAGGGCGGAGUCUGAAGAUGUGGGAGUAGACCCUGCAGUGUUUGCCCUGCAUCCUGUGACUGAGGCUGUACUUUGGGUCUAAACACACGGCCCAGGGACCGGUGGAACCUUCUGGAACUGUUUCCUGACCAUACAGUGAUGAACACAAGACCUAGGAAUGAGGGAACGACUUUCACUGGCCCAGGGCUGCAGGUCUAUGUGCCACCGAGGAACCUGCCAUCACAAACACAGAACGACACUUAAAAGUCCUCAGACGUCCUUGUCCCCGAGCUGCACUUGACAUGUUUUUCCUGCCGACUCCCUGAAAAGCUCAGCUGUCCACCUUUUGCAUCAGCUUGGUGCAGGUUGGGGCAGGACUACUGAUCAGAGACAGAUGCGGGGGGACAGCAGACUGAGCCUCCAGUGUGUUUAGUGCAGCAGAGCGAGGCCGGGCUUUUCUGUGUGUCCUGAUGCAGCUGGGUGUGGUGUGCAUCUGAGCCUCAGUGUGAGAAAAGAGGUGUGAGCUGCAAGGCCAAGCAUGAAUAAUCCCCAGAGGCGAGGAGGAUGGCUCGGUGAACAAGCGAUGACUGGAUAAAAUAAGAGACGGACGUCUGACAGAACAAUGAUGACAGGUGAGGAGAGGUGGGAGCAAGUGUGAAAGACUCAAAAACACCGUCAGAGAAACUGAAUAUUGCUGUGACGUCAGCGCCUAUAAAUUGAUUGAUGCCAAGAAUAAACAGAGCCAAUACAUAACAAUCGAUGAUAGUAGGACACGGUGCAAAAGGUGUUAAAAAAGAGUUUCAUCAGUGUAUCGGAUAUCAGGGAGGAACCUUCCACAGGUGAGCUGGAUUUGGAAACUUACAUAAAAGAAAAAGCAAUUUUGUCAGCCAAAGUUUCUGGUAUAUUGCCAGUGUAGCUUCUCUUUGGCAGGCUUCUUCUUGUGUCUAUUUUGAGCCACGAGGGAAAAGAGAAGCUGAUGUUUGAUUAAGCCGCAGGUUGUUGAUUUGUAGUUUACCCUUGCAGAGUAUAAAAGCAGUGAAUGUUCUUAGGAACAUUUUACAUGAAAUGCCUUAAUUUGGAUGAUUUGCCUCUGUAGCGUAGAACCACUACUCGCUCUAGCAAUGAAAGAUUCAGUUGAUUAAGAUACAUUCAAAAUUCUCCUUUAUCACAAUUUAACAAUAUUACUCACUAAAUUCUAUGAUUGAUAUUACUCUGAGAGACUGGUGGUCAGGACAGACCCUGCUGUCUCUGCUUCCCACAAUCAUCUCUAUUCCCUCACCCCCUCAGCCAAUCCCAGCUCCUUGAGAGAAGAGGCUCAGAGUGGGAAUAACAGAAUUAAAGUAGAGGAUUACCAUGAUCUCUUUUUAAUAAGGACACUAAUCUCUGAAGAAGUUUAACACUUGCUCUCGAAGAAGGCGGACGCUUUUCCCCUUGCUCCCUUCCUCCCCCAAGGGGACCCCUUGUCAAUUAUUUGUAUUGUUUUUAUUGUCUAUUCACGUUUUUUUCUUGGAACGGGUCGUACAAAACUAAAUUUCGUAUCACCUUCCCUGGUGCAUAUGACAAUAAAGAGAUUCUGAUUCUGAUUCUGAUAACGUCAGUCUCCAAAGCAGAGUGAUGCCAUAAAAGGAAGUCUGUAAGGAAGCGGAGGUGAUUAGUGGUGGUGGAUAGUGGUGGAAGGAGAGGUUCUCCUCCUCAGGUCUCCUUAAGUCUAAACUGUACUGUGUAGAAAGUAGUUAUUGUCUGAAUACGACUGUAGAAGAUGUUCAUUUGCUAUCACAUUGAUCUUUCAUAAAAAUAAAAGGAACCCGUGGGUCAUUUUGACUGUCAUCCAGCUCCAAGCAAAGCCAACAGUCGCUCUAAUAUCUGUCCUCUGUCUUGUCCUGGUACGCACCGUUCACUGAAAUCUUAGUAGAACUAUCUGUCACCUUGGAAACACACUUUUCUUCCUGUCACAUCAUGCAUGUGAGUGAACAUACAUGAAGGCAAAUUCAGAUGUUUUUAUUCACCGCAGUUUACAUGAAAAGCACCCUGAUGUAGAUCGACGAUGCUGAAGGCACUCUGUCGUCUGAUUUUUAUCUCAUCCUGUCAUGGUUGGGCCCUCGUGCUCCUCAGAAGACAGAUGGGCUGUUAUUAAAGGCACGCAGUUAAAAUCGGCUGCUCAUCUAUGCGGGCGUCUUCCUGGACUAUAUCCCAGAUCUGAGAUCUGUGUCUAACGUGUCUCACUGGCGACAAGAGAAGGAUCUUGUUGAGUGCCAUAUGAUGCUCACGUCCUGUGACUCAGACAAACAAAAGAGACAACGACGUAAACAGAAACAAGUGUUGAAUUUGUUUUUCUUAUAACAUCAAAUUCAUGACAGUCACCCAUGGUGUGGCCUGUGCUGAAAUGAUCACUAUUAAUUAAAUCAUAGGAAUAGUACUAGUUUUUCAGUGAAAUGUUCUGCUUCUCAUUUAUUGAUUCUGAGCAGUAUCUCUCCAUGUGUUUGACAUUCUAAUGAUCACUGGGUGUUAUCUAUCACAUUGAUAUAAUACUUAGUGAGUUUGAGAUUGAAGCAGAAAACUGUCUUUUCACACUGAGACAGGUUGUGGUUUUUAAAAAGCAAGUAUUUUUGGUCUGCAUGAGGUUUUGCAAGAGGAAGUUCAGCUUUAAGGGAUUGUGAUAAAAACAACGGAGGCGGGCCGUCCCAUUUCUGAGGUCAGUGCGUUCAUUCAUAUCAACUGGUGGGAGGUUUAGCCUUACCAUCGUG